Molecule: ribosomal RNA, 465 nt
Filed under: uncultured bacterium
Lineage: Bacteria
Description: partial 16S ribosomal RNA
Rfam family: Bacterial small subunit ribosomal RNA
Source: RNAcentral
GACGAACGCUGGCGGCGUGCUUAACACAUGCAAGUCGAACGGAAAGGCCCUGCUUGCAGGGUACUCGAGUGGCGAACGGGUGAGUAACACGUGGGUGAUCUGCCCUGCACUUCGGGAUAAGCCUGGGAAGCUGGGUCUAAUACCGGAUAGGAGCCAUUUUUAGUGUGAUGGUUAGAAAGUUUUUUCGGUGUAGGAUGAGCUCGCGGCCUAUCAGCUUGUUGGUGGGGUAAUGGCCUACCAAGGCGGCGACGGGUAGCCGGCCUGAGAGGGUGGACGGCCACAUUGGGACUGAGAUACGGCCCAGACUCCUACGGGAGGCAGCAGUGGGGAAUAUUGCACAAUGGGCGCAAGCCUGAUGCAGCGACGCCGCGUGGGGGAUGACGGCCUUCGGGUUGUAAACUCCUUUCGCUAGGGACGAAGCUUUUUGUGACGGUACCUAGAUAAGAAGCACCGGCUAACUACGUG